GAGAUGUGUUGGAAGAGACCAAAAUGGGGUAGAAGAGACAAAAAUGGGGUAGAAGAGACAAAAAAUGGGUUGGAAGAGACAAAGGUUGGUGGGAAAGUGACAAAAGUUGGUGGUGAGGAAAUGGAAUUGGCUUGGAACUGUCAAAAAUGGGUUGAGAGUGAACAAAAUGGGUUGGGAGAGAGAAAAAAUGGGUUGGAAUUGUUAAAAAUGGGUUGGAAGAGACAAAAAUGAGGUGGAAGAGAGAAAAAUUGGAAGUGACCAGAUGGACUUGGCUUGGAACCAUCAAAAAAGGGUUGGAAGAGACAAAAAUGGGUUGGAAUUGGCAAAAAUGGGUUGGAAGGGACAAAAAUGGGUUGGAAGAGACCAAAGUCGGUGGCGAGGAAAUGGGAUUGGCUUGGAACCAUCAAAAAUGGGUGAGAAGAGCCAAAAAGUUGCUGGAAACGCCCAGAAAUUGAUGUAAACCCGAAAGAAAGUUCUGGAAACCACCAAAA
Long non-coding RNA from Haemorhous mexicanus (house finch), 491 nucleotides. RefSeq lists it as uncharacterized. The transcript is spliced from 2 exons. Lineage: Eukaryota; Metazoa; Chordata; Aves; Passeriformes; Fringillidae. The record is from RefSeq and is a predicted model, not a curated record.